CAUACCUGUUCAACAGUGCAUUUUUAAUAAUAUGCCCUGUAACUGCUCCUAAGUCCUACAAAUUAAACAUUUGUACAUUAUUUAUUUGAAAUAUAAAAAGUUAAUUGCGGGUAAGCACAAAAGCAAUCAUGCACUAAAACCCAGUAAAAAAAACAGGAAAUUCUCAAUUUUGCACAUAGGAUUAGUGUAAGGUUUAACCCAUGUAGGGAAAAACUGACCUUCAUUAACACGUCGAGCAAAUUCUGCGCCAAACAGAAAACCGAUUGUAAAAUUGCGAAAUGUGAGGAUAGGUUAACGUUUGUGACAGAAGCAGUGUGAUUUCUGAAUUAAACCUUAACUCAUAUCGAAAGUAAACGCAAUUUCAUUUCCUCCUUCAUCAAUCUGCUGCAGUCAUGUCACUGACAUGUAAUCAGUGUUCAAUCAAGGCAUUGAGGUUGUAAUUAAGGAAAAGUACAGGGGUAUAACAAUGUACAAUUGUCCUUGUAGGGGGGGGGGUGCAAUGGUUUUUAUCCUGAACUCUUACAAAAGCAAAUAAGUAAAGGUUUUUGCUUUUCAGUGUUGGACACUGUAUAUGCAUUUCAAACUAUUCCCAGUGUUGAUUAUCUACCUUGCAUUGAAUCUUCUCCAUAUUUACGCUUCAACAUAUUUACACAAAUAAAACAAAAACACAGUUUCUAACUAGAAGUUUGGUUAUCCGAGAAUGGACUUGAUGCACUUCGCUGGCACAGCUGCUCUGAAUGUAUAGUUUAUGACGAUUAAAUGCAGUUUAUUUUUAAAUCUGUCUGCUUAUUCACAAAACAAACCACUUUUCUUCCUAAUGGGCGUGUGACCCGAAAAGGACACCGCAGAUUUACGUCAAAAAACAAAAACCAGGCCCUGGAUUUAAAAGUAAAAUCUUUAGUCUUCAUAUCUAGCAGUUCCAAUUUCCACAGAAACACCAGCAGGGGAGGAAGCAAGCUUAGUACUUCUGAUGAGCAAAUCUUCACAUUACCAUAAAAGACAGGGAUAAACCAGCUUUCUGGAUAAGAAAUAAGUAACUUAAAUAACAUACCCUGCCGAGUGGCCAGAGUUCAAAUGUUACAUCAAUGUUACCAAGAAAAUCUGCGCACCACCUAAGGACAAUUUUUCUAGGAUCUUCAUUCGGAUUAUGCAAAGCCCCUGCAUGUACUUCACACCUCAGUGGUAGCAGGAGCUUUCAAGAGAAACAACGAACACUCGCCUAAAUGAAUAGCAUCUGUGUCUUUGCUGUGAAAUGUAGAAAAAAACCCAAUAUAUUAAGUUGGAAAGCAUUCAAAAUUAAAUCAAUCAUAUAUAUUUGCUACACAAAUAGUCUGUCUUUAUAAUAGCAUGCACAUCAGCCCAUUCUAUUAUUUCAUUGCUUUUAUUUCAGAUCCCAUGCUAGCAAUUGCUACUAACUACCAAUUUCCUGGCAUUAAAUUCCUUUAAACUUUACCAUUUGCAGUCCUCCCAGCAUACAGGUGUUUCAGAGAUGGUAAAAGCAUGCAAUAUCGAUAUUUCCAUGUAAAGUUCAUUGAUUUUUCAGUGGCCAAAACGUAAAGCACGAUUGCGUGUCAUAUAAUUAAAGAUAAAUCUAAAGAAGGUUAGAAAUAUAUAGUUUAUUUUUCGCUGACACCCCGCCGCCAAAUUGCUGAAAUGCAAAACAAAAACAAAGCUUUAAUCAAAUGAAACUCUGCUCCGGCUCAGCUACUUAAGUGCAAAUGUGUCACGUCAUGUGUCGUGAUGUCAGAAAGAGAAUAAAAAUGCCACGCAACAACACGGGCAACACACAGCAGGAGACGCACUGUCGGCUUUCAUUUGCCUUUAUUUCUUCAACUGCUGCAUCACAGGUCUGAAGGAACAACGCGAUGGGUCUCAGCACCGCCACGUUUUUAUUGCUUUUGCCGAUAAUGUGCAGCAUUUUUGGAGGAGUUGAAAUGGCCGCAAACAACACCAACACCACCACCCAGUCUUCUGCUGCCACCACCAUCUCCACCAUCAAGCCAGGAGUCACCACUGUUAGCGGCGGCUCUUCCAACAUGCAGGGGGGCUCUCAAACAGGCUCGGGAUGGGGCUUGGCAUCAGGAUACAGCGCAACCACCAACGGUGCUCGAUCCACCUUCUUCCCUACCAUAAGUGGAAACGUCCUGCACCUUUUUACUCUGUCAGUCUUCUUCAUCAUGGCUUUGCUGAUGAAUUAGCGGACGCAGAAACCUGCUCUCUUUCAUGCCGACUCAGCAAUUAAUCAACGCUCCGUGACCCUCGGAUCCACUCAUAAGAAUCUAGUAGACCGGGUUGAUGGAUUUUUCCGCUUCUUUCUAAAUGAUUCAUACACUAAUAUUGUAUAGGCUAUAAAUAUAGAUAGAGAUCACCUAUUUUUCUGUAAGGGGAAAAUUAAGUUUUUUCUUUGACAUGCUGCUUGUAUUUAUAUGAUAUUAACACUUUUCGCACGCCGUAACUGUAAAACAUGCCGGCACCAGGAACCUACUGUUCUCUCGAAAACAAAACCAACCAAUAUUUCUUGUCUGCUUACGGGCUGUAAAAAAAAAAUCUAAAGAACUUUCUAUAGCGCAUUGUUAAAAAACAUUAACGGGUAAACAGCACUUAUAAAAGACUACUGCCAUGAUGUAAACUGAUGCAAUUGUUUGUAAAGUUGCUCACGAUUAAAAGCUUUCUGUACAAUUAUCCAAGUGAAAAUCUCCUUAUUUCCAAAAGAGUGUUAACACAUAUACCAAAGUUUAUAUUCUUAAUAUACAUUUACCAAACUUGAAAAGUUAAAGGUGUACAAAUAUGACUUUGUCUUGAAGAAAGUUAAAGUAGCUAAAACACCAGAAGGGGGCAGAAGAGCUCCAGCUAGAGGAGAAGGAAACAUCCUGCCCACUUCUCAUCCACAUAGCACAUGAUUUCUUUCCUUGCUUUUUGGAACAGAGCUAAUUCUUGUUUUGAUUUGAGUCUAAACAUAACUUUCUAGUUAAAUUCAAUCAAAUAAAAUGGUACAAAAAACACAAAAUUUUAACAAUGAAUGGCUGAAUGACUACAUUAAGGAUUUUUUAAGUACUCACAAACAAAAACACAAUGUGGGACACUUUUUAUGCAGAUAUUAAUAUAAAAACUGUUUUAAUGUAUAUAGCUAUUUUUUUUUUUUUUCGAUCAAUUUAACAACAAAAAAAAAUGACUCCAAUGAGCUUCAUGCACCCCUCCCCAUCUCCAAAAAACAAAACAAAACAAAAACAAAACUCUACUCAAAUGAAAGUGCCAACGUUCAAAGCAAAGUGUCUGACGUCCGAGUAAAGUGACGUCACUCUGGCUAUAAAGUGCUGGAAGGCAGAGCGCACACAACUGCAACCAGCACAUCUUUUGUAUUUCUUGUAAAAGGCUCGAACGAACAGCAAGAUGAGGCUCAGCGUGGUCUUCUUGGCCAUAAUGUGCAGCAUGGUGGGACUGUGCCUUUCAACUACAUCAUCUCCAUCCAGCUCCACCAGCAAUUCCCAAUCAAACUCAUACCAGUAUGGGUCCGGAACAGCUGCUGGUGGAUCCUAUGCACGUGCAACCACCACGAGCAUGGCGCCUCACUCUAUCUUCACCUCUUCAGGUGGAAACCUUCUGCUCUUUCUCUCCAUGUCCUUUGUCCUCUUCAUUCCACUGCUGAUGAAGUAGUGGCUUGGAUACAAUCCGUCUAUCUUUUACUCCAGCUCACAAAAUAAUGAAAUUCUCCAAGUCCAUCAGGUCACCAACUAAGUAUCGAAUAAGCAAGUUGGUGGAUGGAUCUUCUUUUUUUUU
This is a long non-coding RNA of Silurus meridionalis, 3777 nucleotides long. RefSeq lists it as uncharacterized. NCBI's taxonomy places the organism in Eukaryota, Metazoa, Chordata, Actinopteri, Siluriformes, Siluridae. The record is from RefSeq and is a predicted model, not a curated record. The transcript has 3 exons.